AGGAACCUUACCCGGGCUUGAAAGUUACUUGGAGUAAUCGCUUGAGAUGGAUUCGUUCCGUUCGUGGACAGGGAACUAUGGGUGGCUGCGAUGGUCUGGCUGUCAGGUCUGUGCCGGUGAGGUGGUUGUGGAUUAAUGUCCCGGCAACUGAGGCGCGCACCCGCGUGCGUAAUGAGCUGCCAGCAUGUAAAGGUGGGGACUCUAUUCAGACUGGCUGUGCAAGCAGAGAGGAAGGAGGGGACGACGUCAAGUCNUCGUGGCCCUUACGUCGGGGGCUACACACGUGCUACAAUGGUCAGUACAGAGGGCAGCUACCUGGUAACAGGAUGCCAAUCUCAAAAAGCUGAUCACAGUUCGGAUUGAGGUCUGCAACUCGACCUCAUGAAGUUGGAUUCGCUAGUAAUCGCGUAUCAGCAAUGACGCGGUGAAUACGUUCCCGGGCCUUGUACACACCGCCCGUCAAGCCAUGGAAGUUGGGGGUACCUGAAGUCGGUAACCGUAAGGAGCCGCCUAGGGUAAAACCGAUAGCUGGGGCUAAGUCGUAACAAGGUAGCCGUA
This 558-nucleotide ribosomal RNA is filed under the name uncultured Bacteroidota bacterium. RNAcentral's name for it is "bacterial SSU rRNA". It matches the Rfam family "Bacterial small subunit ribosomal RNA", at positions 964 to 1504 of the family's 1533-position model. The record is from RNAcentral. Lineage: Bacteria; Pseudomonadati; Bacteroidota.